CAGUCGAACGAAACUUCUUUAUCACCGAGUGCUUGCACUCACCGAUAAAGAGUUGAGUGGCGAACGGGUGAGUAACACGUGGGCAACCUGCCCAAAAGAGGGGGAUAACACUUGGAAACAGGUGCUAAUACCGCAUAACCAUAGUUACCGCAUGGUAACUAUGUAAAAGGUGGCUAUGCUACCGCUUUUGGAUGGGCCCGCGGCGCAUUAGCUAGUUGGUGGGGUAAAGGCUUACCAAGGCAAUGAUGCGUAGCCGAACUGAGAGGUUGAUCGGCCACAUUGGGACUGAGACACGGCCCAAACUCCUACGGGAGGCAGCAGUAGGGAAUCUUCCACAAUGGGCGAAAGCCUGAUGGAGCAACGCCGCGUGGGUGAAGAAGGUCUUCGGAUCGUAAAACCCUGUUGUUAGAGAAGAAAGUGCGUGAGAGUAACUGUUCACGUUUCGACGGUAUCUAACCAGAAAGCCACGGCUAACUACGUGCCAGCAGCCGCGGUAAUACGUAGGUGGCAAGCGUUAUCCGGAUUUAUUGGGCGUAAAGGGAACGCAGGCGGUCUUUUAAGUCUGAUGUGAAAGCCUUCGGCUUAACCGGAGUAGUGCAUUGGAAACUGGGAGACUUGAGUGCAGAAGAGGAGAGUGGAACUCCAUGUGUAGCGGUGAAAUGCGUAGAUAUAUGGAAGAACACCAGUGGCGAAAGCGGCUCUCUGGUCUGUAACUGACGCUGAGGUUCGAAAGCGUGGGUAGCAAACAGGAUUAGAUACCCUGGUAUC
RNAcentral lists this ribosomal RNA (768 nucleotides) under uncultured bacterium. RNAcentral's name for it is "bacterial SSU rRNA". It matches the Rfam family "Bacterial small subunit ribosomal RNA", at positions 59 to 794 of the family's 1533-position model. The record is from RNAcentral.